Non-coding RNA from Mycena belliarum, 91 nucleotides. The record is from the annotation of a GenBank genome assembly. NCBI's taxonomy places the organism in Eukaryota, Fungi, Basidiomycota, Agaricomycetes, Agaricales, Mycenaceae.
GGCCGCCUGGCGAAAUGGCAUCGCGUCUGACUACGAUAAGAACUUCGGUGGCGGAAUCAGGAGAUUGCAGGUUCGACCCCUGCGGUGGUCA